This 164-nucleotide ribosomal RNA is filed under the name uncultured bacterium. Its description in RNAcentral is "partial 16S rRNA". It matches the Rfam family "Bacterial small subunit ribosomal RNA", at positions 355 to 511 of the family's 1533-position model. The record is from RNAcentral.
UAGGGAAUCUUCCUCAAUGGGCGAAAGCCUGAUGGAGCAACGCCGCGUGUGUGAUGAAGGGUUUCGGCUCGUAAAACACUGUUGUAAGAGAAGAAUGACAUUGAGAGUAACUGUUCAAUGUGUGACGGUAUCUUACCAGAAAGGAACGGCUAAAUACGUGCCGG